GAAGGAACGCACAAAUAAGGGCUCGACAUGGCAACGGUCGAUUCGUCAAGAAUAGUAAAUGAACGAACAGUUAUUUACAUCUUGUUUUUGCUUUUAAAGAGUGUUCUAUAUUCUAACUGAAACACCAGUGUAUAUAUUAUGCUAUUGGAUGUUUAUUCAAACCGUCAAGUCUUCAAAAUUUUAAGGGUUAUCGCAAGUGA
This 200-nucleotide non-coding RNA is filed under the name Aplanochytrium stocchinoi. The record is from RNAcentral. Lineage: Eukaryota; Bigyra; Thraustochytrida; Thraustochytriidae.